UCACGCCAACGUCGGGAGUAAAUAACUCUCAAACCCGGCUGGUCUGAAUCGUCAGACACAUCUCGUGGUUCAAAACUCCCAACCCAAAGCUGAUAGUCAAACCUUCCCUUUUAAAAGGUUUCUGUUUAUUAUGACAACGGAACCCUGACUAUAUGCUUUACGUAGACUUUGAAGAUGUUUGUUAAUCCUUUACAUGUAACGUAAAAACUUACCGUGCAAGAUCUAAAGUUGGCCUAUCCUUUGCCUGUCUCAUAUACGCGCAAAUCAUUCAUAGCCCAGAGGUGUUCAGAAUUAGGAAUACUUUCCUAUUAUCU
This is a long non-coding RNA of Daphnia pulicaria, 314 nucleotides long. RefSeq lists it as uncharacterized. The transcript is spliced from 2 exons. Lineage: Eukaryota; Metazoa; Arthropoda; Branchiopoda; Diplostraca; Daphniidae. The record is from RefSeq and is a predicted model, not a curated record.